GAUGAAGAACGUAGCGAAAUGCGAUAAGUAGUGUGAAUUGCAGAAUUCAGUGAAUCAUCGAAUCUUUGAACGCACAUUGCGCCCCUUGGUAUUCCAUGGGGCAUGCCUGUUCGAGCGUCAUUUGUACCUUCAAGCUCUGCUUGGUGUUGGGUGUUUGUCUCGCCUCUGCGCGUAGACUCGCCUCAAAACAAUUGGCAGCCGGCGUAUUGAUUUCGGAGCGCAGUACAUCUCGCGCCUUGCACUCAUAACGACGACGUCCAAAAGUACAUUUUUACACUCUUGACCUCGGAUCAGGUAGGGAUACCCGCUGAACUUAAGCAUAUCAAUAAGCGGAGA
RNAcentral lists this unclassified non-coding RNA (336 nucleotides) under soil metagenome. RNAcentral's name for it is "partial contains 5.8S ribosomal RNA, internal transcribed spacer 2, and large subunit ribosomal RNA". The stretch from base 1 to 120 matches the Rfam family "5.8S ribosomal RNA", at positions 35 to 154 of the family's 154-position model. The record is from RNAcentral.